GACGAACGCUGGCGGCGGGCUUAACACAUGCAAGUCGAACGGAAAGGCCCUGCUUUUGUGGGGUGCUCGAGUGGCGAACGGGUGAGUAACACGGGAGUAACCUGCCCUGGACUUUGGGAUAACUUCAGGAAACUGGGGCUAAUACCGGAUAGGAGCUCCUGCUGCAGGGUGGGGGUUGGAAAGUUUCGGCGGUUGGGGAUGGACUCGCGGCUUAUCAGCUUGUUGGUGGGGUAGUGGCUUACCAAGGCUUUGAUGGGUAGCCGGCCUGAGAGGGUGACCGGCCACAUUGGGACUGAGAUACGGCCCAGACUCCUACGGGAGGCAGCAGUGGGGAAUAUUGCACAAUGGGCGGAAGCCUGAUGCAGCAACGCCGCGUGCGGGAUGACGGCCUUCGGGUUGUAAACCGCUUUCGCCUGUGACGAAGCGUGAGUGACGGUAAUGGGUAAAGAAGCACCGGCUAACUACGUG
RNAcentral lists this ribosomal RNA (468 nucleotides) under uncultured bacterium. RNAcentral describes it as "partial 16S ribosomal RNA". It matches the Rfam family "Bacterial small subunit ribosomal RNA", at positions 28 to 507 of the family's 1533-position model. The record is from RNAcentral.